RNAcentral lists this ribosomal RNA (487 nucleotides) under uncultured bacterium. RNAcentral describes it as "bacterial SSU rRNA". It matches the Rfam family "Bacterial small subunit ribosomal RNA", at positions 29 to 536 of the family's 1533-position model. The record is from RNAcentral.
AACGAACGCUGGCGGCAUGCCUAACACAUGCAAGUCGAACGAGACCUUCGGGUCUAGUGGCGCACGGGUGCGUAACGCGUGGGAAUCUGCCCUUGGGUUCGGAAUAACACAGAGAAAUUUGUGCUAAUACCGGAUGAUGACGUAAGUCCAAAGAUUUAUCGCCCAGGGAUGAGCCCGCGUAGGAUUAGCUAGUUGGUGGGGUAAAGGCUCACCAAGGCUACGAUCCUUAGCUGGUCUGAGAGGAUGAUCAGCCACACUGGGACUGAGACACGGCCCAGACUCCUACGGGAGGCAGCAGUGGGGAAUAUUGGACAAUGGGCGAAAGCCUGAUCCAGCAAUGCCGCGUGAGUGAAGAAGGCCUUAGGGUUGUAAACUGCUUUAGUCUAGGAAAAAGGGGUGCGAGGUUAAUAACCCUCGUGCUUUGAUGGUACUGGAAGAAUAAGCACCGGCUAACUACGUGCCAGCAGCCGCGGUAAGGAGUAGUACA